AACUGAAGAGUUUGAUCCUGGCUCAGAUUGAACGCUGGUGGCAUGCUUAACACAUGCAAGUCGAACGGUAACAGGUCUUAGGAUGCUGACGAGUGGCGGACGGGUGAGUAACGCGUAGGAAUCUGCCCAUUUGAGGGGGAUACCAGUUGGAAACGACUGUUAAUACCGCAU
RNAcentral lists this ribosomal RNA (171 nucleotides) under Francisella tularensis subsp. tularensis 80700075. Its description in RNAcentral is "partial 16S ribosomal RNA". It matches the Rfam family "Bacterial small subunit ribosomal RNA", at positions 1 to 174 of the family's 1533-position model. The record is from RNAcentral. Lineage: Bacteria; Pseudomonadati; Pseudomonadota; Gammaproteobacteria; Thiotrichales; Francisellaceae.